Molecule: ribosomal RNA, 253 nt
Filed under: uncultured bacterium
Lineage: Bacteria
Description: partial 16S ribosomal RNA
Rfam family: Bacterial small subunit ribosomal RNA
Source: RNAcentral
UACGGGGGGGGCAAGCGUUGUUCGGAAUUCCUGGGCGUCAAGGGCUCGUAGGCGGCCAACUAAGUCAGACGUGAAAUCCCUCGGCUUAACCGGGGAACUGCGUCUGAUACUGGAUGGCUUGAGUUCGGGAGAGGGAUGCGGAAUUCCAGGUGUAGCGGUGAAAUGCGUAGAUAUCUGGAGGAACACCGGUGGCGAAGGCGGCAUCCUGGACCGACACUGACGCUGAGGAGCGAAAGCGUGGGGAGCAAACGGG